This is a long non-coding RNA of Neofelis nebulosa (Clouded leopard), 362 nucleotides long. RefSeq lists it as uncharacterized. The transcript is spliced from 2 exons. NCBI's taxonomy places the organism in Eukaryota, Metazoa, Chordata, Mammalia, Carnivora, Felidae. The record is from RefSeq and is a predicted model, not a curated record.
UGGGCCAGUAGCUCUGGGCUGAUCUGUAGCUCCCAGCAGUCCUCAGCCUUCUCCUCUGGCUCUGAGGCAUCCAGGGACUCCAGCUAUGAGGCAGGGGGAGGAUAUGGAUCUCAGCAUUUGGGGAUGCCGCCUGCUCCUGAACUGAAGGCAAGAAUUGUGAACCAGAAUCAUGGCAGAGGCUACUUCUUCUCACCCUCCCUGGUGGCCACUUGGUUCUCCCAUUUCUGAUUCCUUGGGUCGGUCCCCUCCAUCCCAAAUUAACCUCUUCUUUUGUUGUUUCCAUGUGACCUUUCUUGUAUUGGAAAGUAGUCUGUUGUUAGUCUGUAUGUUAGUUAACAUACUAAAUGCCUGAGAACAGAACA